This 276-nucleotide ribosomal RNA is filed under the name Staphylococcus aureus. RNAcentral's name for it is "partial 16S ribosomal RNA". It matches the Rfam family "Bacterial small subunit ribosomal RNA", at positions 1259 to 1533 of the family's 1533-position model. The record is from RNAcentral. Lineage: Bacteria; Bacillati; Bacillota; Bacilli; Caryophanales; Staphylococcaceae.
GAGGUCAAGCAAAUCCCAUAAAGUUGUUCUCAGUUCGGAUUGUAGUCUGCAACUCGACUACAUGAAGCUGGAAUCGCUAGUAAUCGUAGAUCAGCAUGCUACGGUGAAUACGUUCUCGGGUCUUGUACACACCGCCCGUCACACCACGAGAGUUUGUAACACCCGAAGCCGGUGGAGUAACCUUUUAGGAGCUAGCCGUCGAAGGUGGGACAAAUGAUUGGGGUGAAGUCGUAACAAGGUAGCCGUAUCGGAAGGUGCGGCUGGAUCACCUCCUUU